GCUGGGUUUAGAACGUCGUGAGACAGUUCGGUCCCUAUCUGCCGUGGGCGUUGGAAGAUUGAAGGGGGCUGCUCCUAGUACGAGAGGACCGGAGUGGACGAACCUCUGGUGUUCGGGUUGUGUCGCCAGACGCAUUGCCCGGUAGCUAAGUUCGGAAUCGAUAACCGCUGAAAGCAUCUAAGCGGGAAGCGAGCCCUGAGAUGAGUCUUCCCUGAUACUUUAAGUAUCCUAAAGGGUUGUCGGAGACUACGACGUUGAUAGGUCAGGUGUGUAAGUGCUGUGAGGCAUUGAGCUAACUGAUACUAAUUGCCCGUGAGGCUUAACCAUACAACACCCAAGGGGUUU
Molecule: ribosomal RNA, 345 nt
Filed under: Vibrio parahaemolyticus
Lineage: Bacteria; Pseudomonadati; Pseudomonadota; Gammaproteobacteria; Vibrionales; Vibrionaceae
Description: partial 23S ribosomal RNA
Rfam family: Bacterial large subunit ribosomal RNA
Source: RNAcentral